RNAcentral lists this long non-coding RNA (1457 nucleotides) under Oryctolagus cuniculus (rabbit). RNAcentral's name for it is "lncRNA (ENSOCUG00000039481.1)". Lineage: Eukaryota; Metazoa; Chordata; Mammalia; Lagomorpha; Leporidae. The record is from RNAcentral.
GCCCCUGUCCCUGCCUAGGGUGCUCCUGGGCUGCCCUGUGUGUGGGUCAGAGUGGGGACGGUCCCCAUCCCUGCCCAGGGUGCUCCUGGGCUGCCCUGUGUGUGGGUCAGAGUGGGGACGGUCCCUGUCCCUGCCCAGGGUGCUCCUGGGGUGCCCUGUGUGUGGGUGAGUGGGGAUGGUCCCUGUCCCUGCCCAGGGUGCUCCUGGGGUGCCCUGUGUGUGGGUGAGUUGGGACAGUCCCUGUCCCUGCCCAGGGUGCUCCUGGGCUGCCCUGUGUGUGGGUGAGUUGGGACAGUCCCUGUCCCUGCCCAGGGUGCUCCUGGGCUGCCCUGUGUGUGGGUCUGAGUGGGUUGUGGCAGCCAUGGGGAAGCUGAGGGUGGGAAAGGAGAUGGAGCCCCAGGCUGGGGUGUCUGGCUUGUGAGGGGACCUUGACUGUGCAGUGCAGGGUGGCCUGGUCGCCUCUCCCAGGCCCAGGCAGUGGCCAUCACAGCCGCUGAGAGACGUGUGGCUUGCAGGUGGGUGAACCAGGGAUGCUGUUGGUGGUUACAGGCGAUCCCUGGGCUGUGUAUACUGUGUGGCCCCGAGUUCUGAUCCCAGAGAGGGCUGAGCCCUGGGAUGGGUUGCUUUUGUCGGCCUCCAGCACCACAGGUGCCUGCACGUGCCGGCGGACACGCCGCUACUCGGAUGCUCCAGCACUCUCACUCUGCUCCCCCGUGGCGUCCCCAUUCACGACACGAGGACCCAAAGCUACAAGGACAGGCAGUGUCAGUCCUGCCGAGAGGUCUUGGUGAGUGUUGGUGAGGGAGGCCGUCUUGAGACCUCCGACCUCAUGUGUGAGACCCCUACACAGUGAGAACAGACGGCGCCAAUCCCCUGCGACUUCCUCGCAUGGGUAGCUCAGCCGGUCCUGUAACUGGUGCUGUCCCUGUGCUUCUGCUCACAGGUCAGCGAGCCCCGGGAUGAGACAGACGUGUUCUCACGGGUCAGUGAGCCCCGGGAUGAGACAGACGUGUUCUCACGGGUCAGUGAGCCCCGGGAUGAGACAGACGUGUUCUCACAGGUCAGCGAGCCCCGGGAUGAGACAGACGUGUUCUCACGGGUCAGUGAGCCCCGGGAUGAGACAGACGUGUUCUCACGGGUCAGCGAGCCCCGGGAUGAGACAGACGUGUUCUCACGGGUCAGCGAGCCCCGGGAUGAGACAGACGUGUUCUCACGGGUCAGUGAGCCCCGGGAUGAGACAGACGUGUUCUCACGGGUCAGCGAGCCCCGGGAUGAGACAGACGUGUUCUCACGGGUCAGCGAGCCCCGGGAUGAGACAGACGUGUUCUCACGGGUCAGCGAGCCCCGGGAUCAGACAGACGUGUUCUCACGGGUCAGCGAGCCCCAGGAUGAGACAGAUGUGUUCUCACGGGUCAGUGAGCCCCGGGAUGAGACAGACGUGUUCUCCCCCGGGAUGA